RNAcentral lists this transfer RNA (80 nucleotides) under Cryptosporangium aurantiacum. It matches the Rfam family "tRNA". From Rfam's summary of the family: Transfer RNA (tRNA) molecules are approximately 80 nucleotides in length. Their secondary structure includes four short double-helical elements and three loops (D, anti-codon, and T loops). Further hydrogen bonds mediate the characteristic L-shaped molecular structure. tRNAs have two regions of fundamental functional importance: the anti-codon, which is responsible for specific mRNA codon recognition, and the 3' end, to which the tRNAs corresponding amino acid is attached (by aminoacyl-tRNA synthetases). tRNAs cope with the degeneracy of the genetic code in two manners: having more than one tRNA (with a specific anti-codon) for a particular amino acid; and 'wobble' base-pairing, i.e. permitting non-standard base-pairing at the 3rd anti-codon position. Lineage: Bacteria; Bacillati; Actinomycetota; Actinomycetes; Cryptosporangiales; Cryptosporangiaceae. The record is from Rfam by way of RNAcentral.
GGGCUCGUAGCGCAGAGGUCGUCUGUCGUCGCGCCCGUCCGUUUGGCCGGAGGACGUCGGUUCGAAUCCGACUGAGCCCC